Cryptosporidium muris RN66 is the source of this 46-nucleotide non-coding RNA. The record is from Rfam. NCBI's taxonomy places the organism in Eukaryota, Apicomplexa, Conoidasida, Eucoccidiorida, Cryptosporidiidae.
AUACAGGCGUCACUAGACGCCACAUUUAUAUUACUACUAGGUUGUA